RNAcentral lists this long non-coding RNA (2251 nucleotides) under Coffea arabica (coffee). RNAcentral describes it as "long non-coding RNA (CARA_LNC000384)". Lineage: Eukaryota; Viridiplantae; Streptophyta; Magnoliopsida; Gentianales; Rubiaceae. The record is from RNAcentral.
AAGCAAGUCUUGAACAUAUAUUCAAUACACAGUACUAUAAGAACCAACCCAAAAUGACAGCCACAACAAGUACCAAAACCAAAGUGCAGUCUAUUACAAUCAAUAAUGAUAUCCAAAACAAGAAUCUCAACAAUUAACAUAUAGCAAUUACAAACAUGUUCAUGAAAACCAUUUGUGAACGCAACAUCUAAACAAGGUCAUAAUUGAGCUGUUUAUUACUUUUAUUGGCCGAAGAAUAGCAUUUGAUGACUGUGCAUGUAGUAUAUCUUUGCGGAGAUGGCGAACUUUGUCCUUGCGAUCUUCCUUGUUGAAUUGAUUCUAGUUGCUGAAUUCUUCGCUCCAUUUUUGACAUCACAGCACUUUGUUCCAUAACCAAGUGAAAACAUGUUGAACGACUUGGUAUAUCACCCCACAAAUCAGAUUGUGUAACUCUUAAACCAUAUGUACGAACUCUUCCACUCCUUUCUUCACCCAUUACUUUUGCAAACACGUCAUUCCUACCCAUACUAUCUUCUUCUCCUUCUGGAAGUUAAUUUUUUAAGCUUUCCAUCUCCUCCUAAAAUUAACAAUUCAAAGUUACUAUAUUCUCGUUCUUAUCGUAACAGAAAAAACCUGUUUAUGAAUGAAGUGAAUAAGCAGCAACAACAUACCAUUUCCCCAACUUCAUAACUAGAUGGCACUCCAUUAGAAUUAGUGUAGCAUAUGGUGAACAUAUCUGCUCUAGAGAGAGAAUGCCCAACCCAACCUCUUUUUCCUACAUGUAAUAGUACAUCUAACGAAUAUAUCAGAAUGAAAACUUAGAUAUUGUUACCAAUUUAUAUAUUAUACCUUUUCUACUCGAACUUGAGCAAAUGGCUUUUUCCCUGUACUAUGAGUAUAUCCCUUAAUAAAACCUUUACAUAUCAAGUGUGAUUUUGCCUGCUCUCUCGUGACAAAUACCCCAUUCCUAUACCUAAUACAUGGGCAUAAAAUCAUCUCCCCUAUACUUCCAUUCGUAAAUGCAAAAUCAAGAAAAUCUUCUAAACUAGCUUUAUACUCAUCACUUGAUCGUGACAUACUCAUCCAUCUUUUAUCCAUGUUCACAUAGAUUCUAAUUAUAUAUAUAUAUAUAUAUAUAUAUAUAUAUAUAUAUAUAUAUAUAUAUAUAUAUAUAUAAAAGAAAGCUUCAUUAGCAUCUACAAGAUAGUUCUACCUAAACUAUUACUGGUUUUUGCAUAAAACAUUUACUUAGAUAAGAAAACUAAUUUCAACGAGAUUAAUAGAAGACACAAAUCUCUCAUGGAAUAUCUUCUAAAGUAAAGAUACCAAAAGUAUCAAAACAGAAUGUUAGAACCAAUCCAAGUGUUCUGGACAUAUCAAAACAGAAUGUUCACAUAUCCAGGUGUUCUAGACAUUUGAGUAAUAAGAACUAAUCCAAAAGUAUCAAAACAGAAUGAUAUCAAAAGGAAAGAAAGCAAAAGUUCAAUUCUAGAUUGUAAGACACAAACUAUCGAACAGAUGGUAGGCACAAAAGAAUAACAGUCUAUGAAAUUCAAAAUUAGUCCAAUAAUGUAGUCAAUAUCAAUUUGAGAUAGAGAACUUAGACAAAAUAUUAGCAACCAAACUAAUCAGCAAUAGAAGUUCUACCCAAUUGAAAAUAACUGCCAUGAACUUUAAUGUAUUCGUAACCUAAGAGUAGCAGAAACUUAAUGUAUAAUUUUGGUUACCAACAACUCCAAUUUGCUCUAAGUGAAAAGGGAAUCAACGAUCAGUGCUCGCUAGAUGGAAUCGAAGAUGAUGGCCGCUACAAACUUGAAACUGCAUUGAUGGAAUAAGCUUGACUUAGUCACCACUUUUUUUUUAGUCACAAAAAAAAUAUUAUAUUAUGGAAAUGAAGCCUGAAGAGGCAGAACAAAAUGAUACAACAUGAUCCCGUAUAGUUGUGGUAUGCAUUAAGCAAAAGAUGAGUGACCACAAAUUACAAACAGUACAUCUAUCCUUCUGUAGUUCUCCAAAGUGUCUUAGACAAAGCAUCACACGUCUUUCUACUAAAAUGCCGCACUUAAGACCAACAUUGAGUUUCAUGAUCCUUGUAGACUAGUAACACUUUGACAGUGAAAAAAAUGUGAUGUAUAUGACAAUGAACCAUAGAGAUAUACUCAACAGAUCCGUAGAAAGAAUUGCAAGACCUGCCAACAAGUAGCAAUUUUUUUUCCCUUGGUUUGGUUUUUGGUGCUGCAAUUUUGAAAAAGGAAUUAGAAAAACACAGAUG